UAAGAAUUAGUUAAAAUAUAACAUAAACUUGUCGUGUUUAAGUUGAAGUGUCAUUCUUAA
Molecule: transfer RNA, 60 nt
Filed under: Proasellus racovitzai
Lineage: Eukaryota; Metazoa; Arthropoda; Malacostraca; Isopoda; Asellidae
Description: transfert RNA-D(GAC)
Source: RNAcentral